AGUGAACGCUGGCGGUAGGCCUAACACAUGCCAGUCGAACGGCAGCACAGUAAGAGCUUGCUCUUACGGGUGGCGAGUGGCGGACGGGUGAGGAAUACAUCGGAAUCUACUUUUUCGUGGGGGAUAACGUAGGGAAACUUACGCUAAUACCGCAUACGACCUACGGGUGAAAGCAGGGGAUCUUCGGACCUUGCGCGAUUGAAUGAGCCGAUGUCGGAUUAGCUAGUUGGCGGGGUAAAUGCCCACCAAGGCGACGAUCCGUAGCUGGGCUGAGUGGAUGAUGAGCCACACUGAAACUGAGACACGGUCCAGACUCCUACGGGAGGCAGCAGUGGGGAAUAUUGGACAAUGGGCGCAAGCCUGAUCCAGCCAUACCGCGUGGGUGAAGAAGGCCUUCGGGUUGUAAAGCCCUUUUGUUGGGAAAGAAAAGCAGCAGGUUAAUACCCCGCUGUUCUGACGGUACCCAAAGAAUAAGCACCGGCUAACUUCGUG
Molecule: ribosomal RNA, 492 nt
Filed under: uncultured bacterium
Lineage: Bacteria
Description: partial 16S ribosomal RNA
Rfam family: Bacterial small subunit ribosomal RNA
Source: RNAcentral